RNAcentral lists this ribosomal RNA (424 nucleotides) under uncultured prokaryote. RNAcentral's name for it is "bacterial SSU rRNA". It matches the Rfam family "Bacterial small subunit ribosomal RNA", at positions 355 to 796 of the family's 1533-position model. The record is from RNAcentral.
CAAGGAAUUUUCCCCAAUGGGCGCAAGCCUGAGGGAGCAACGUCGCGUGGAGGAAGACGGCCUUCGGGUUGUAAACUCCUUUUAGGGGGGAAGAUAUGGACGGUACCCCCUGAAUAAGCCCCGGCUAACUCCGUGCCAGCAGCCGCGGUAAGACGGAGGGGGCAAGCGUUGUCCGGACUUACUGGGCGUAAAGCGCGUGUAGGUGGUUUCGUGCGUCGGUGCUGAAAACUUCAGGCUCAACCUGAAGACGCGUGCCGAUACGACGAGACUAGAGGCAGGGAGAGGGUAGCGGAAUUCCGGGUGUAGUGGUGAAAUGCGUAGAGAUCCGGAGGAACGCCAGUGGUGUAGACGGCUACCUGGCCCUGACCUGACACUGAGACGCGAAAGCGUGGGGAGCAAACCGGAUUAGAUACCCGUGUAGUCC